GAACGGAGCACCCCUGAAGGAGUUUUCGGACAACUGAAGGGAAUGCUUAGUGGCGGACGGGUGAGUAACGCGUGAGUAACCUGCCUUGGAGUGGGGAAUAACAGUUGGAAGCAGCUGCUAAUACCGCAUGAUGUAGUUGAGUCGCAUGGCUCUGACUGCCAAAGAUUUAUCGCUCUGAGAUGGACUCGCGUCUGAUUAGCUAGUUGGCGGGGUAACGGCCCACCAAGGCGACGAUCAGUAGCCGGACUGAGAGGUUGGCCGGCCACAUUGGGACUGAGACACGGCCCAGACUCCUACGGGAGGCAGCAGUGGGGAAUAUUGGGCAAUGGGCGCAAGCCUGACCCAGCAACGCCGCGUGAAGGAAGAAGGCUUUCGGGUUGUAAACUUCUUUUCUCAGGGACGAAGAAAGUGACGGUACCUGAGGAAUAAGCCACGGCUAACUACGUGCCAGCAGCCGCGGUAAUACGUAGGUGGCAAGCGUUAUCCGGAUUUACUGGGUGUAAAGGGCGUGUAGGCGGGAGUGCAAGUCAGAUGUGAAAACCACGGGCUCAACCUGUGGCCUGCAUUUGAAACUGUACUUCU
RNAcentral lists this ribosomal RNA (582 nucleotides) under uncultured bacterium. Its description in RNAcentral is "bacterial SSU rRNA". It matches the Rfam family "Bacterial small subunit ribosomal RNA", at positions 64 to 642 of the family's 1533-position model. The record is from RNAcentral.